This 606-nucleotide ribosomal RNA is filed under the name uncultured bacterium. RNAcentral's name for it is "bacterial SSU rRNA". It matches the Rfam family "Bacterial small subunit ribosomal RNA", at positions 243 to 840 of the family's 1533-position model. The record is from RNAcentral.
AGCUAGUUGGUGGGGUAAAGGCUUACCAAGGCAAUGAUGCGUAGCCGAACUGAGAGGUUGAUCGGCCACAUUGGGACUGAGACACGGCCCAAACUCCUACGGGAGGCAGCAGUAGGGAAUCUUCCACAAUGGGCGAAAGCCUGAUGGAGCAACGCCGCGUGGGUGAAGAAGGUCUUCGGAUCGUAAAACCCUGUUGUUAGAGAAGAAAGUGCGUGAGAGUAACUGUUCACGUUUCGACGGUAUCUAACCAGAAAGCCACGGCUAACUACGUGCCAGCAGCCGCGGUAAUACGUAGGUGGCAAGCGUUAUCCGGAUUUAUUGGGCGUAAAGGGAACGCAGGCGGUCUUUUAAGUCUGAUGUGAAAGCCUUCGGCUUAACCGGAGUAGUGCAUUGGAAACUGGGAGACUUGAGUGCAGAAGAGGAGAGUGGAACUCCAUGUGUAGCGGUGAAAUGCGUAGAUAUAUGGAAGAACACCAGUGGCGAAAGCGGCUCUCUGGUCUGUAACUGACGCUGAGGUUCGAAAGCGUGGGUAGCAAACAGGAUUAGAUACCCUGGUAGUCCACGCCGUAAACGAUGAAUGCUAAGUGUUGGAGGGUUUCCGCCCUU